CCUGCCCCCGAAAUCCCCAACUCCCCCCGCUCAAAAUCCCUAAUUUCCCACAUCCAAGAAAAAAACCCAAAAGCUUAUUCAACUCUCUGUUUCUUCCCAACCGAAGCAAGGGUACUGAGUGGAACGGUUGUCAAUAGGAGGGCAUGAAACUUGCAUUAUUUUUCCCACUCUUAUUCAACUCUGAAAUAUUCCUUGUUUUGUGCAUAAUCUGUUUUUUUUUUGACACUUUUAGCUCUGAAUCUCUGAAUCUUUGACUAAAUGGAUGCGAUUAUCUCUAAUAAAGAUUACUUUCUUUUUUUCUUUAUUGAAGCGAAUAAAUUUUGGGAUUGUCAAUUUAUUAAAAGUUUCAUAUACCUAAGGAUCCAGUUAUAGAGUUUGCCGAAGCACUUAGGUUUGAUACUAACCUGGCUUUUACCGUCUUGCGGGAUAUUGCUUCAGGAAGAGAUCUUAAGAAGUUCCUCUAUGUAUGUUGUUACUCUCUAGGGCUACUUUGCAGUUCAUAAAUUUGAAUUUUGGAUUUUUACAGUUUGCUUCUUGUAAGUAAAAAUGAUGUUUAAUUUUUGUUUUUGGUUCCAAGGAAAAGAAAAAAAUUACAUCUUUUAGUGUUUAUAAUUAAUAUGUUUGAUUUAAAGCUUGCUCCUUGAAGCAUAUCUGCCAUGUGUGAUGGCUACUCUGUAGCUAUAUGCCUGCCUUGUUCUGAUUUUUUACCAUGGUUAGUGUUGUAUUCUAGUUCCUUAUUUUAUUUCAUGGAAAUGGAGCGCUUUAUGCAAAAUAGUCUCAAACAUUUUGUUCACUACUCAUCUUCUAAAAUGAUGAGUGUUUAUCCUUUUGCAGUAUCGGAGUUUAGUGGGAGCUUCUUCAGCAUCAGGAUUUAACUAACCAGUUUGCUAUAAGUGAUUAAAUCUUUGCAUGCCUUAUUUGUCUUUUAGCCUUUCUUUGAUAAUCCUUCCGACUUAUUGAUAAACGGAGCCUGAAGUCUGUAUAUUAGAAAUGCAGUCUACUGGAUUGACAAAGGAACCUGUUACCAAAGGUGAAAUUUCACAUGGUCGAAUUAUACAACAAGACACAAAGACUUCCAAGUCCUUCCAUAAAUGCAUCAGCUCCUUUCGAAAAGGUAAGUAUGAAGCAGAACCAUCAUAAUGAAAUAAGGUAAUAUUUGAUCUCUGCUCUUUGGGAGAAGCAAAAAUAGAGAAAACCAACAUGAUAUACUCUCAAAUUCAAACAUUUUAUUAUAAAUUACAUGUAAUUUAAUGCUUAAUGGUAAUCGUGAACUUUGUUAACUGUGUGUCUUUCAUUAUUGGUUCAUUCAAGCAAUAUAUGUGUGAACUUGGUAAAUGAUUCUUACAAAAAUUGAAGUGAAAUUUUCAUCCAAGUGAAAAAUAUCUAGAAAUUAAGUACUUAAUGAAAAAUGUAAACAAUUCAUGCAAGUAUGUGGCCACUGGACUUGCACCACAGCAUGGAUUUGGUUAAUCGAUUGAAUUAUUAUUUAUGUUUGUUAGUUGCAUUAUUCAACCUUCAAUUAGUAGCUGUCUGUAAGAUUUGAAAGGAAAAAAAGAAAGAAAGUAGUAGCUGUAAGCAGUAAGUAGGUAUGAAAAAGUAAAUUGUGUUUUAUUGGGCGACUGGCUCACAUGAUUAAAGAAAAACUUUUUUAUUUAAAAUUUUUUUUAUUUUAUAUGUUAAUAUUUUUUUAGUUUUAAUUUGUACUAUUUUAUAUGUUAAUUAUACAUAAUCAGUGAAGCUCAGUUCCUUUGUUUGAAUUCUUAUGCUUUAGGUAGAUAAGGGUUUCUCUCAUCGCUGCUGAAAACAUUUUGUACUUCAAAUAAUAAUAUUUCAUAUGAAAAUAAAAUAAAAUAAAAUAAAAACAAGAAUCGAAUAUCAAAAAAUUCGAACAUAGAAGAAGUUUAAUCAA
Long non-coding RNA from Gossypium raimondii (Peruvian cotton), 1909 nucleotides. RefSeq lists it as uncharacterized. NCBI's taxonomy places the organism in Eukaryota, Viridiplantae, Streptophyta, Magnoliopsida, Malvales, Malvaceae. The transcript has 2 exons. The record is from RefSeq and is a predicted model, not a curated record.